CCUACGGGAGGCAGCAGUGGGGGAUAUUGGACAAUGGGGGGAACCCUGAUCCAGCGACGCCGCGUGAGUGAAGAAGUAUCUCGGUAUGUAAAGCUCUAUCAGCAGGGAAGAAGAAAUGACGGUACCUGAGUAAGAAGCCCUGGCUAACUACGUGCCAGCAGCCGCGGCAAUACGUAGGGGGCAAGCGUUAUCCGGAAUUACUGGGUGUAAAGGGAGCGUAGACGGUGAUGUAAGUCUGGAGUGAAAGGCGGGGGCCCAACCCCCGGACUGCUCUGGAAACUAUGUGACUGGAGUGCAGGAGAGGUGAGCAGAAUUCCUAGUGUAGCGGUGAAAUGCGUAGAUAUUAGGAAGAACACCGGUGGCGAAGGCAGCUCACUGGACUGUAACUGACGUUGAGGCUCGAAAGCGUGGGGAGCAAACAGGAUUAGAUACCCUUGUAGUC
Molecule: ribosomal RNA, 442 nt
Filed under: uncultured bacterium
Lineage: Bacteria
Description: partial 16S ribosomal RNA
Rfam family: Bacterial small subunit ribosomal RNA
Source: RNAcentral